GCGAAAACUUUACAAUGCUGGCAACAGCGAUAAGGGAACCUCGAGUGCCAGGUUACAAAUCUGGCUGUCGAGAUGCCUAAAAAGCAUUGCAUAGCAAGGGCCGGGCAAGACCGGUGCCAGCCGCCGCGGUAACACCGGCGGCUCGAGUGGUAACCGUUAUUAUUGGGUCUAAAGGGUCUGUAGCCGGCCGGAUAAGUCUCUUGAGAAAUCUGGCAGCUUAACUGUCAGGCUUUCAGGAGAUACUGUCUGGCUCGAGGCCGGGAGAGGUGAGAGGUACUUCAGGGGUAGGGGUGAAAUCUUGUAAUCCUUGAAGGACGACCAGGGGCGAAGGCGUCUCACCAGAACGGACCUGACGGCAAGGGACGAAAGCUAGGGGCACGAACC
This 384-nucleotide ribosomal RNA is filed under the name uncultured prokaryote. Its description in RNAcentral is "bacterial SSU rRNA". It matches the Rfam family "Archaeal small subunit ribosomal RNA", at positions 341 to 725 of the family's 1478-position model. The record is from RNAcentral.